GAGUGGCGAACGGGUGAGUAAUACAUCGGAACGUGUCCUGUAGUGGGGGAUAGCCCGGCGAAAGCCGGAUUAGUACCGCAUACGAUCUACGGAAGAAAGCGGGGGAUCCUUCGGGACCUCGCGCUAUAGGGGCGGCCGAUGGCAGAUUAGCUAGUUGGUGGGGUAAAGGCCUACCAAGGCGACGAUCUGUAGCUGGUCUGAGAGGACGACCAGCCACACUGGGACUGAGACACGGCCCAGACUCCUACGGGAGGCAGCAGUGGGGAAUUUUGGACAAUGGGGAAACCCUGAUCCAGCAAUGCCGCGUGUGUGAAGAAGGCCUUCGGGUUGUAAAGCACUUGUGUCCGGAAAGAAAACUUCUGCCC
This 365-nucleotide ribosomal RNA is filed under the name uncultured bacterium. Its description in RNAcentral is "bacterial SSU rRNA". It matches the Rfam family "Bacterial small subunit ribosomal RNA", at positions 93 to 460 of the family's 1533-position model. The record is from RNAcentral.